This 72-nucleotide transfer RNA is filed under the name Saccoglossus kowalevskii. Its description in RNAcentral is "tRNA-Glu". It matches the Rfam family "tRNA". Rfam says of the family: Transfer RNA (tRNA) molecules are approximately 80 nucleotides in length. Their secondary structure includes four short double-helical elements and three loops (D, anti-codon, and T loops). The record is from RNAcentral. Lineage: Eukaryota; Metazoa; Hemichordata; Enteropneusta; Harrimaniidae.
UCCCAUAUAGUCCAGUGGUUAGGAUUUGGCGCUUUCACCGCCACGGCCCGGGUUCAAUUCCUGGUGUGGGAA